RNAcentral lists this non-coding RNA (333 nucleotides) under Polysiphonia infestans. The record is from RNAcentral. Lineage: Eukaryota; Rhodophyta; Florideophyceae; Ceramiales; Rhodomelaceae.
GGGACUGAUAGGCUUUCUACGCGUUUAUUAGACUAAAAUAUGAGCAAAAUAUUAUUAUGUUAAGUACAUGAUUUUAUUAAUUAUACUUUUAAUUGCAAAACACAAUAUUAUAGCUUUCUCAAGAAAUCUAGUAAAUGUAUAGGUAAUCUUGAUUUAAAACAUAUUGCUUAAUAUGAAUUUAUUUUUUCUAGCUGCCCUAUAAUUCUCAGUUUUAAUUAAAUCUACUUUUGAAUAUAUUUAGUUAAGUAAAAAUUGUUAUGAGUUUAUCAAAAAACUGAUCUUUAUUUAGUUAAUUAAUAAACGUGGACGUGGGUUCAAAUCCCACCAGUUCCA